Molecule: transfer RNA, 77 nt
Filed under: Candidatus Bathyarchaeota archaeon
Lineage: Archaea; Thermoproteati; Candidatus Bathyarchaeota
Also listed under: 1 other name
Description: tRNA-Thr
Rfam family: tRNA
About the family: Transfer RNA (tRNA) molecules are approximately 80 nucleotides in length. Their secondary structure includes four short double-helical elements and three loops (D, anti-codon, and T loops). Further hydrogen bonds mediate the characteristic L-shaped molecular structure. tRNAs have two regions of fundamental functional importance: the anti-codon, which is responsible for specific mRNA codon recognition, and the 3' end, to which the tRNAs corresponding amino acid is attached (by aminoacyl-tRNA synthetases). tRNAs cope with the degeneracy of the genetic code in two manners: having more than one tRNA (with a specific anti-codon) for a particular amino acid; and 'wobble' base-pairing, i.e. permitting non-standard base-pairing at the 3rd anti-codon position.
Source: RNAcentral
GCCCCAGUGGCUCAGCUGGUCAGAGCGACGGCCUUGUAAGCCGUAAGUCGCGGGUUCGAAUCCCGCCUGGGGCUCCA